This 468-nucleotide ribosomal RNA is filed under the name uncultured bacterium. Its description in RNAcentral is "partial 16S ribosomal RNA". It matches the Rfam family "Bacterial small subunit ribosomal RNA", at positions 28 to 507 of the family's 1533-position model. The record is from RNAcentral.
GACGAACGCUGGCGGCGUGCUUAACACAUGCCAGUCGAACGGCAAGGCCCUGCUUUUGUGGGGUGCUCGAGUGGCGAACGGGUGAGUAACACGUGAGUAACCUGACCUUGACUUUGGGGUAACUUCAGGAAACUGGGGCUACUACCGGAUAGGAGCUCCUGCUGCAUGGUGGGGGUUGGAAAGUUUCGGCGGUCGGGGAUGGACUCGCGGCUGAUCAGCUUGUUGGUGGGGUAGUGGCUUACCAAGGCUUUGACGGGUAGCCGGCCUGAGAGGGUGACCGGCCACAUUGGGACUGAGAUACGGCGCAGACUCCUACGGGAGGCAGCAGUGGGGAAUAUUGCACAAUGGGCGGAAGCCGGAUGCGGCAACGCCGCGUGCGGGAUGACGGCCUUCGGGUUGUAAACCGCUUUCGCCUGUGACGAAGCGUGAGUGACGGUAAUGAGUAAAGAAGCACCGGCUAACUACGUG